Molecule: ribosomal RNA, 534 nt
Filed under: Campsicnemus bennetti
Lineage: Eukaryota; Metazoa; Arthropoda; Insecta; Diptera; Dolichopodidae
Description: partial 16S ribosomal RNA
Rfam family: Bacterial large subunit ribosomal RNA (bases 402-534)
Source: RNAcentral
UUAACAAAAACAUGUCUUUUUGAUUUUUAAUAUAAAGUCYAAUCUGCCCACUGAUAAAUUAUUUAAUGGCCGCAGUAUUUUAACUGUGCAAAGGUAGCAUAAUAAUUAGUUUUUUAAUUGAAGGCUUGUAUGAAUGAUUGGACGAGAUAUAAACUGUCUCAUAAAAAUUUUUUUAGAAUUUAAUUUUUUAGUUAAAAAGCUAAAAUAAAAUUAAAAGACGAGAAGACCCCAUAGAUCUUGAUAUUUUUAUUUGUUAUUAUUAUUUAGUUUUUUUAUAAAUUAAUAAAUAAAAAUAUUUUGUUGGGGUGAUAUUGAAAUUUAAUAAACUUUCAAAAUUUAAUAACAUUAAUUUAUGAAUUUAUGAUCCUUUAUUAUUGAUUAAAAAUUUAAGUUACCUUGGGGAUAACAGCGUAAUUAUUUUGAAGAGUUCAUAUCGAUAAAAUAGAUUGCGACCUCGAUGUUGGAUUAAGAUUAAUUUUGGGUGUAGUAGUUUAAAAUAUWAAGUCUGUUCGACUUUUAAUUUCUUACGUGAUC